Molecule: transfer RNA, 77 nt
Filed under: Candidatus Uhrbacteria bacterium CG10_big_fil_rev_8_21_14_0_10_50_16
Lineage: Bacteria; Candidatus Uhriibacteriota
Also listed under: 1 other name
Description: tRNA-Pro
Rfam family: tRNA
About the family: Transfer RNA (tRNA) molecules are approximately 80 nucleotides in length. Their secondary structure includes four short double-helical elements and three loops (D, anti-codon, and T loops).
Source: RNAcentral
CGGGCUGUAGCUCAGUAGGCUAGAGCGCUUGGUUUGGGACCAAGAGGUCGUGGGUUCGAGCCCCGCUAGCCCGACCA